CAUUUUCGGGUUAGCGCUUUCCCCCGCUUGCCCUCGAGGCCUCAGUUCGAGCACUGGGACUUAGAUGCUUCAAGCCGGUUGAGAAACUCUUUGUUUGUCACUAGACUUCAUGGCGGUCGAUUGGGCCAGUCACUCUGAGCCUCGCUGAGUGAAGAGAUGCAACAAAAUCGAAAAUGCUAGCUAUCCCGAGAUGUCUUCUAACCUCUAUGUAUUCUACCUACGUGCCUAGUUAGUCACGAAGAAUAGGGAACAUUGAAACGGUUACGUGUGCUGAUUCAGCGCUGCAUCCUGACUAAGAGUUCUCGUCAAAAAACAUUCGAAUUCUGGAAACAAUACUGGCCUGCCAACACCCUGGAAACUAAUUACUUGUGCGUCCAGCUUCAACACGGAUGCACAGGAUCACUGCAGGAUGCACCGUGACGACAGCGAAGUUACCAGUUUGAUGCGAUGGAUACAAGUGUGAAGUUUCGCUUCUCCAAGCCAUCAAGGAAUACGUUCCCAGUGUCGGAGGAAAUCUGAACACCCAUCGAGAAGCACUGCUUUGGAGAUGGGAACGUUUCCAGAAUACGCAUAAACAAGGCUCGGUAUUCCCUCUGUCAAUCUCCACAAUAUGGAAACAAUGUUUUCAGAAAUACUCAUGAAUCGUGAUGAAUAUUGUUUGGGAUAAUUAAUAUUUUGAA
This is a long non-coding RNA of Sycon ciliatum, 680 nucleotides long. RefSeq lists it as uncharacterized. The record is from RefSeq and is a predicted model, not a curated record. The transcript has 3 exons. Lineage: Eukaryota; Metazoa; Porifera; Calcarea; Leucosolenida; Sycettidae.